Molecule: ribosomal RNA, 844 nt
Filed under: uncultured bacterium
Lineage: Bacteria
Description: bacterial SSU rRNA
Rfam family: Bacterial small subunit ribosomal RNA
Source: RNAcentral
AGUCGAACGAUGAUCAGGAGCUUGCUCCUGUGAUUAGUGGCGAACGGGUGAGUAACACGUGAGUAACCUGCCCCUGACUCUGGGAUAAGCGUUGGAAACGACGUCUAAUACUGGAUACGACUUCCGGCCGCAUGGUCUGGUUGUGGAAAGAUUUUUUGGUUGGGGAUGGACUCGCGGCCUAUCAGCUUGUUGGUGAGGUAAUGGCUCACCAAGGCGACGACGGGUAGCCGGCCUGAGAGGGUGACCGGCCACACUGGGACUGAGGCACGGCCCAGACUCCUACGGGAGGCAGCAGUGGGGAAUAUUGCACAAUGGGCGAAAGCCUGAUGCAGCAACGCCGCGUGAGGGAUGACGGCCUUCGGGUUGUAAACCUCUUUUAGUAGGGAAGAAGCGAAAGUGACGGUACCUGCAGAAAAAGCACCGGCUAACUACGUGCCAGCAGCCGCGGUAAUACGUAGGGUGCAAGCGUUGUCCGGAAUUAUUGGGCGUAAAGAGCUCGUAGGCGGUUUGUCGCGUCUGCUGUGAAAUCCCGAGGCUCAACCUCGGGCUUGCAGUGGGUACGGGCAGACUAGAGUGCGGUAGGGGAGAUUGGAAUUCCUGGUGUAGCGGUGGAAUGCGCAGAUAUCAGGAGGAACACCGAUGGCGAAGGCAGAUCUCUGGGCCGUAACUGACGCUGAGGAGCGAAAGCAUGGGGAGCGAACAGGAUUAGAUACCCUGGUAGUCCAUGCCGUAAACGUUGGGCGCUAGAUGUAGGGACCUUUCCACGGUUUCUGUGUCGUAGCUAACGCAUUAAGCGCCCCGCCUGGGGAGUACGGCCGCAAGGCUAAAACUCAAAGGAAUUGAC